GGAGAGGGCUAGCGUUAUUCGGAAUUAUUGGGCGUAAAGGGCGCGUAGGCGGAUUAGUAAGUUAAAAGUGAAAUCCCAAGGCUCAACCUUGGAAUUGCUUUUAAAACUGCUAAUCUAGAGAUUGAAAGAGGAUAGAGGAAUUCCUAGUGUAGAGGUGAAAUUCGUAAAUAUUAGGAGGAACACCAGUGGCGAAGGCGUCUAUCUGGUUCAAAUCUGACGCUGAGGCGCGAAGGCGUGGGGAGCAAACAGGAUUAGAUACCCUGGUAGUCCACGCUGUAAACGAUAAAUGUUAAAUAUGGGGAGUUUACUUUCUGUAUUACAGCUAACGCGUUAAACAUUCCGCCUGGGGACUACGGUCGCAAGAUUAAAACUCAAAGGAAUUGACGGGGACCCGCACAAGCGGUGGAGCAUGUGGUUUAAUUCGAUGCAACGCGAAAAACCUUACCACUCCUUGACAUGGAAAUUAUACCUAUUCGAAGGGAUAGGGUCGGUUCGGCCGGGUUUCACACAGGUGU
Molecule: ribosomal RNA, 515 nt
Filed under: bacterium symbiont of Megymenum gracilicorne
Lineage: Bacteria
Description: bacterial SSU rRNA
Rfam family: Bacterial small subunit ribosomal RNA
Source: RNAcentral